This 233-nucleotide ribosomal RNA is filed under the name Postelsia palmaeformis. RNAcentral describes it as "small subunit ribosomal RNA". It matches the Rfam family "Eukaryotic small subunit ribosomal RNA", at positions 1599 to 1831 of the family's 1831-position model. Lineage: Eukaryota; Phaeophyceae; Laminariales; Laminariaceae. The record is from RNAcentral.
UUGAACGAGGAAUUCCUAGUAAACGCGAGUCAUCAGCUCGCAUUGAUUACGUCCCUGCCCUUUGUACACACCGCCCGUCGCACCUACCGAUUGAAUGUUUCGGUGAAGAUUCCGGACUGUGGCUCGCGUGCUUUACGGCGCUCCUGCCGUGGGAAGUUAUCUAAACCUCAACAUUUAGAGGAAGGUGAAGUCGUAACAAGGUUUCCGUAGGUGAACCUGCGGAAGGAUCAUUA